This 21-nucleotide non-coding RNA is filed under the name Caenorhabditis elegans. The record is from RNAcentral. Lineage: Eukaryota; Metazoa; Nematoda; Chromadorea; Rhabditida; Rhabditidae.
UCUUUCAACUGGAUUUAGUUU